RNAcentral lists this non-coding RNA (30 nucleotides) under Mus musculus (house mouse). The record is from RNAcentral. Lineage: Eukaryota; Metazoa; Chordata; Mammalia; Rodentia; Muridae.
UAAGAUCAGAUGGUGUUUCUUAGGAGCCGU